UUUCUCUAAUCUUGAUUAAGAAUAGAUUAUCCCUUUUUCUUGAUAAGAUAUAAGCAUAUUAAAAGUUACAAAUUACCCUCUUCUAAACUGAUAUUGUUCUUAGUAUUUUCUUUGUUCUCAAGUGUCAAGGACACAAAAAUACACACUCGAGAUCUAACAAGAAGUUCAAGAAGAACUAACAAGAACUAGAUUAAUCAGAUGAGAACAACACCAGAGAGGUGAGCUA
This 226-nucleotide long non-coding RNA is filed under the name Physcomitrium patens. Its description in RNAcentral is "long non-coding RNA (PPAT_LNC013672)". The record is from RNAcentral. Lineage: Eukaryota; Viridiplantae; Streptophyta; Bryopsida; Funariales; Funariaceae.